RNAcentral lists this long non-coding RNA (285 nucleotides) under Lathyrus oleraceus (garden pea). Its description in RNAcentral is "Pisum sativum (pea) long non-coding RNA (PSAT_LNC017262)". The record is from RNAcentral. Lineage: Eukaryota; Viridiplantae; Streptophyta; Magnoliopsida; Fabales; Fabaceae.
GUUAGCUUCAUGCUAUGUCAUGAUGUAUGAGAUGUUUCGUGUUAUGCUAAAAUAAAUGCGAAUGUUGUAUGCAUGCGUAUGCUGUGAAAUGAUGUAAUGAAUGAGUUAUGCGUAUGAGAAGUUCUGCUUGGGGACUCUACUGGGGAAAAUAAAUCCCCAUCUACUGAUUGGAGAUAUUUGUAACGAUGACCCUUUCUCGGCAGGGGGUUCUUGAUUCUGUCUGAUGGUAGAAAUAUUCCACAGAUCUUGGCUGAGGAUGGAUGAGAUGAUCAAUCUGUCUGAUGA